This 253-nucleotide ribosomal RNA is filed under the name uncultured bacterium. RNAcentral's name for it is "partial 16S ribosomal RNA". It matches the Rfam family "Bacterial small subunit ribosomal RNA", at positions 524 to 776 of the family's 1533-position model. The record is from RNAcentral.
UACGUAGGGGGCGAGCGUUGUCCGGAGUUACUGGGCGUAAAGGGCAUGCAGGCGGUCGUACGCGUUUUGUGUGACAGCGGGUGGCUUAACUACCCGAGUAUGUGAAAGACGGUAUGACUUGAGGGCUCGAGAGGGACACGGAAUUCCGGGUGGAGUGGUGAAAUGCGUAGAUAUCCGGAGGAAUACCAAAGGCGAAGGCAGUGUCCUGGGUGGUUUCUGACGCUGAGGUGCGAAAGCUAGGGGAGCGAACGGG